CUUUCUUUGCUGGCGACCGGCGCACGGGUGAGUAACACGUAUCCAACCUGCCCUUUACUCGGGGAUAGCCUUUCGAAAGAAAGAUUAAUACCCGAUAGCAUAAUGAUUCCGCAUGGUUUCAUUAUUAAAGGAUUCCGGUAAAGGAUGGGGAUGCGUUCCAUUAGGUUGUUGGUGGGGUAACGGCUCACCAAGCCUUCGAUGGAUAGGGGUUCUGAGAGGAAGGUCCCCCACAUUGGAACUGAGACACGGUCCAA
RNAcentral lists this ribosomal RNA (254 nucleotides) under uncultured bacterium. Its description in RNAcentral is "partial 16S ribosomal RNA". It matches the Rfam family "Bacterial small subunit ribosomal RNA", at positions 79 to 334 of the family's 1533-position model. The record is from RNAcentral.